Molecule: ribosomal RNA, 253 nt
Filed under: uncultured bacterium
Lineage: Bacteria
Description: partial 16S ribosomal RNA
Rfam family: Bacterial small subunit ribosomal RNA
Source: RNAcentral
UACGUAGGGUGCGAGCGUUAAUCGGAAUUACUGGGCGUAAAGCGUGCGCAGGCGGUUUUGUAAGCCAGAUGUGAAAUCCCCGGGCUCAACCUGGGAAUGGCAUUUGGGACUGCAAGGCUUGAGUGCGGCAGAGGAGACUGGAAUUCCUGGUGUAACAGUGAAAUGCGUAGAUAUCAGGAGGAAUACCGAUGGCGAAGGCAGGUCUCUGGGCUGACACUGACGCUCAUGCACGAAAGCGUGGGGAGCAAACAGG